Long non-coding RNA from Salarias fasciatus (jewelled blenny), 5557 nucleotides. RefSeq lists it as uncharacterized. NCBI's taxonomy places the organism in Eukaryota, Metazoa, Chordata, Actinopteri, Blenniiformes, Blenniidae. The record is from RefSeq and is a predicted model, not a curated record. The transcript has 5 exons.
UGUUCAUUUGCCAUGACUGAAAACUUUGUGUGUGUGCUUCCUUGCUCCAAGACACACAUACAGCAAGGGGGAGGGGACAGCCGUCACCUGGGUUCUGCCCCAGACCUCCAAAGGAGCAGUUCUCCUGAGUCCUCCGGAAGGAAAAGGGGGCUGGUCCUGGUCCCCCAGCCGGCUAGCCAGCACUGCUGACGGCUAACAAAGGAAGGAGCCCUCCGCCCAAGGCCUAAGAAGAGGGGACACAUGCAGCAUCCAGCCUUCCCACCAAGGACCACCAGGACAGUGGCCUCAAGUGGCCGAGCUGGUCGGUGCCGACUUGGCCGGAAGCCUGUAAGCUGCUUACCAACUCGGCCAAAAGCCUUUUUUUUUUUUUUUAAUGACGAUGGCGGCUCGACGUCGCUCUUUGAUCCUUGGAUGUCGGCUCUUCCUAUCAUUGUGAAGCAGAAUUCACCAGGCGCUGGAUUAUUCUCCCACUAAUAGGGAACGUGAGCUGGGAUUAGACCGUCGUGAGACAGGUUAGUUUUACUCUGCUGAUGUUGUGUUGUUGCAAUAGUCAUCCUGAGCUGAUGGACAACACAGAUCAUGGAGACUCUUUUACAAAGUUGCACUGAGAGAGGAAGCAGGCCUCACCCCCUCUCAAGCUCUCUGUGGGGAACAAAUCCCUCUGAUCCGCCAUUUUAACUGUAGUCUUCAGCCGGCCGCCAUUUUGAUCUGUAGUUCCAUCCCUCGAUCCUCCAUCCCAUCUCUCAAACCAUCUCUCUCCCUCACACACACACACAUGCACACGCACAUUCUUGCAAACACGACUUGUACAGGCAUCCAGAUAGAAUUGUGUCAGGAUCCUGUUCAGGCAGGCAGCAGGCAGCCCCAGUCUCCCUGGGUCCUGCUGAUUGCUGAUGACAUUCACCUGGGACUGCCUGCCAAACUCUCCCUGCCACCUGCUCUGUGCCGAUCGUUACCCUUCCCAGACUCCCUUGCUGCUGCAGAGGGAUUCGGCUGCUCUGCCAAGCCGAGAGGAGGUUUUGGUCACGUCUUGCCUUGUCUUAUCUUGUCUCGCCACACCAUGACCUCGCCACACCAUGACCUCGCCACACCAUGACCUCGCCACACCAUGACCUCGUUACACCAUGACCUCGCCACACCAUGACCUCGCCACGCCAUGACCUCGUCACACCAUGACCUCGCCACACCAUGACCUCGCCACGCCAUGACCUCGUUACACCACGACCUCGCCACGAAAUGACCUCGCCACACCACGCCACGACCUCACCUCGAUCCAACCUGUGACGCUGCUGCCAGGCUGCAGUCCUCCUGGUUUUCCUGCACCGAAUAAACCUGCUCGACCGGUAAUCCUGCUUCUGUCUCUCUGUGUUGGGUCUAACUGCACACCGACCGUGACAGAAUUGUGUGUUUGGUUUUGCUUUAUUAUUAAUAAACAUACUUUUUGGGAUCCUUUGUGUCAUUGAUGUUUCACAGUUAUGAAUGGAAUGUCGAUCUCUUCUGUCCAAGAACUCCAGAAUCCUUCAGGUUUUACGGGUAAAAUUUGGUAAUUGCUAAUAAUGUCAUUAUUAAUCCAAAUUCCAAAUUAAUAGUUUAACCAAGUUAUUGAGACUGAUUACAACAGAUUGGUUCUUUUCCUAUUAAAGGCAGGUGUUGCCCCGAGGUUUUCUGAUGAACAUCAGAUCCCAAAUUCUUUAGUUACCGGUGAUAAUCAUUAAUUUUUACUGAUCGCCAAAUUUAUUAGCUUGACAUUCCAACAUUAAUCGUGCGGCCCAUGUGAGGCAAUAGAACAUGACUGAAAAUCCCAGAACAUACAUAUAUAUAGUGGAGUCUCUGAGGAGAGGACACCGUAAAAGCCAACAUCCUUUUCUAAAUGGACGAUUCAUUGGACUCAGACAGGUUUUAAAGACAGCUGGACAACAGACUGGUGUUCUCAGUAAAUUUAAAGCUGAGCCACACUGAAAUGGACAAAAUGCUUGAAAUUUCAGUGAUCAUCUUCCUGAUGAUCUCCCAACAUCUUGGAUUUCUCUUUCUCUUCUCUGAGACUGAAACUCCGCCUCAGGAGCUGUUUUCUAACAGCUGUGUUUUCAGUGUCUCCAAGCUCUGCUGUUGUGGAACUGAACUUUGGUGUUUUCACUUGACUCUUUCUUUUCAUGUAAAACAGAGUUUUACACUGAGACUCCUGAUGAAUCUUUCAGUUACACUUGGGAAUUUGUCACUUGUAACUUUGUCAUGUGCUCUCCUGCAUUUUACCAUUCACUGACUCCAUGGUCAAAAACUGCUCCAUGGACACCCUUGGCUCAAUUGGGAGAGUAGCCUUCUUUUGUUCUCAAGUUUAUAGGUUUGAUUCCCAUUUUCCACUGUCCAUGUGCCAAAGCAUCCUGGAGCAAAUCACUGAAUCUCCCAGUGGAAGAGCACUGCGUCUUGCAUGUGGCAGCCAUUGUUUAGGGCAGUGGUGGCCUGGAGGCCAGAGAAGGGGACCGGUAAUGAAGAGUUCCCAGGUUCAAUUUCCACUGUGGGUCUCUGAGCAAGGCAUCAGUACUGUGAUGUGGCAACACCUGCGUGUUCUAGAAACAGGAUUGAUCAAUGUGGUAAGAAAAGAAACUGUGCAGUAAAAUAAUGUUUUAUGUCUUUCGAUAAAUAAAAAUGCAUCACUGUUUAUUCAGAAGGGAUUCCUACCAGAUGAAUUUCAAGGCCUUGAUGUUGGUAUUUAGUAAUAUGAUGUGUUUUGUAACUGUCAUUAGAGGUUAGUUUGAAAAGAACAUCUCUCAAAUCCUUUGAAUCACUAAUUUUUCUGUUGGUUUGGAGCCAAUCUUCAUGACGAAAACAAGUUGUUGCAGUGAAGCUUUGGUAAGAAGUCUAUCAAACACUCUGGGUCCUGGAUAAAAGCCUGAGUCCUCCGUACACCGUCACACACAAAACUGUGCCUUUUUUAAUUUAAUACGUAUAUUGCAAAUGCAUCAUGAAAUGUAAUCAUUUUGAUAAUGAUCAAAGAUAGGUGUGACUUUUUGAAAUAAAGACUCUGAUAUACAUCAGAUAACCUCGGGGCACCACCCUUGUGAAUGAGAAAUGAAUGCCAGUUCAUUGAUAUUUGUCUCAUAAAAUACACUAAACUAUUACUUUGGACUUCAGAUCAAUCAUUAAAUUAAUAACAAUCACCAAAGUUAAAAACCUGAAGAGUUUCAGACCUCCAGGAAUAGAAUAGUUUCAUUCAUCUUCUUGUAUAUAAUAACAAUAAGAACAACAGGCUUGAUUCCAAGAAAUGAUAUUUAUUCACUGACGAAGCAAAGCAAAACACACUGAUCCUGUCGUCUCCUGAGGAGCCGUCCAUUUGAAAGAGCCGUUCAAAAGACUGGCUCCUUGACAAACGUCACGUGACUCUAUUAGAGACCUCAGCCUCAUUAGUGUGGACUCAAUCUGUUAUUUUCUGACAACUGACAUGGUUACUGUCAGUUAUGAGUUUUCAUCUGGUUCUUUAAUUUGUUUAGUGACAGAUUCAGGAGAUGAUUUUCUGAUACACAUUACAUUGUGGCUUCCCUUGCAGGUUGUCCCCAGAGAAGAGCUUCAAAAUGCUGCGACGUGUCCUUUAACUGAGCAUUUUAUGGUGUGUGUGUGUGUGUGUGUGUGUGUGUGUGUGUGUGUGUGUGUGUGUGUGUGUGUGUGUGUGUGUGUGUGCCUUUGCUAAAACCGGCAAAUCCAAUAAAAGCAGUCAAUACAGUGUUUCAAAUUAACUGGUUUCCUUGUUACCUGGUGACUGACUUCCUUUAGCACUUCCUGCUGCUGCUGCUUGUAGCAGCAGAUGUUGAAAUCAGAAUCGUAAAAGGUCCGACAACUUUUUGUCUGGUUUUUAACAUCUAUCAGCAACAAGGGACGUGAAAGAAACCGGGUCGCCAUUUCAUAGGGAAACCAGUUCUUCCAUAACACCAGCUCCUCUCUGGUUUCUGGACACUCCUCGUUGGCCAGUUAGCUGCUGCGUUCAGGUGACUGGAGUGUGCUGCGGAAAACUGAAACUCGGUCGUUCACAUGAAAGCAGCGGAGACAGCUGGACUCACAAGGCACACAGGAGAUCAUUGAGGGAAGUGUGGACAGGAAAGGAACGGCUCUCAGACAGCUGUGAACCGGCUCUCGUCGUUCACUUAAAAGAGCCGUUCAAACAACCAACUCGUUUAUUGAACGUCACAGCACUACUGAAAAUGAAACGUGAUUUCAAAGAUUUCUUCAGCUGAUCACUCCAUCAAGUGCCUUAAAAAAAAGACAGUGGUUCAUGAGGCCUCAAGUGUCCAUCACUAUUAGUUUGUUCAAGACUCAAACACCCUAAAAAUCGUUGUUAUUAUGAAAUAUUAGAACAUCACUGCACUGUUUACCCAACAACUCCUGCACCAUACAGAAGCCCACGUGGCAAUGAUGAAGGAACUCAUGGUGUCCAACCAAGUGCUGCUCCUGGAAUUGGGACUCCAGAGAUCCAUCCAUCUUGAUACAGUCAAAUAUGUGUCUACAUACAUGCUCGACUGUUGUUUGUCAACGAGCAGUUUUGCUUGUUCCAGAGCCUGAAACCGGAAGCACAAAGAACUGGCACUGACACCCCUUUCCCACUGCAACUAGCGGGUCGACCCGUGUCUUCGACCCGCUAACGAUCAGCUUUUUUUUUUAUUAGACUCCUUUCCCACUGCAUGCAGACCCGGGUCAAGCCACCUGCUGGCGAGCCGCAUCGCUGCAUUUUCCUGCACUGAUAGGAGCCCCAGGUUGAUGACAUCAUCAGCGCGACGGAGCAAAACGAAAGUAAACAAUGCAGCGGAACACAGUCCAGCUCUCUGGUCUCGCUAUCUUGCCACUGCUGGGUCAUCUUGAUGAAGGAAAUCUCACGCUUGGUCCAGAAACAACAACAUAGCCACGCUACGUCGACAUCAUCAUGUAAGUUCCCGGAUGUGUCCCUCCCACUAAAAGCCGAUGCAAACUGACCCGGCAAAUUACCGGGUCGAUUGCAGGGUCGAACGACCCGGGUCAAAAUCCAGGGUAAACCCUUUCCCACUGCCAUGAGGAGCCGAUAGUUUGCGGGUUUAAACGGGUUUUUUGGCCAGUGGGAAAGGGGUAUAAGUUAGGGUCUGUUUCCCCACUAGGCCUGGAAUCACACAGGUGGAACAGGGUCAUGUGUGGUAAAAUGGAUAGAGGAAGGGAAGAAGGGAUGUAUGGAUGGAUGGAUGAUAUUAAUCCAACUGGUCUGAUCCUCAUUGUCUUCCAGGAGCCACCUCCACUCAGGAACCAACAACUGGAACUCCACCAUCCACCGCCACAGAGGAAUAUCAAACUACACUCAUGCGGGGUCAACGUGACUUCCUCAACCAUCGUCCACCCAAUAAGGUGUAGCUGAUGUCUGAUGUAACAUCCAUCAGCAGUGAUGGCGUCCUCAUGACCAUUAAAGGUACAGAUGGAGACGUCUUCUGGGACUAAACAUCUCCAGAUCACCUUCACCAUGGGUCACUGCUUCAUCUGAAAUCAUCUUCUCAAUUAAUACCAUCUUCUUAAGUUAGAAUUAUAUUCUUAAUUAAAAGACAUCAAUGAG